RNAcentral lists this ribosomal RNA (1377 nucleotides) under uncultured bacterium. RNAcentral's name for it is "bacterial SSU rRNA". It matches the Rfam family "Bacterial small subunit ribosomal RNA", at positions 27 to 1394 of the family's 1533-position model. The record is from RNAcentral.
GAGCGAACGCUGGCGGGCGUGCCUAACACAUGCAAGUCGCACGCGGUCCGCGGGGGCAACUCUGCGGACUGAGUGGCGAACGGGUGAGUAACGCGUGGGCAACCUGCCCGCAAGUGGGGAAUAACCCCGGGAAACUGGGGCUAAUACCGCAUAACGCCCGAUGGCGUCGGUCAUCGGGCUGAAAGUCCCGAAGCAAUUCGGGACGCUUACGGAGGGGCCCGCGUCCGAUCAGCUUGUUGGUGAGGUCACGGCUCACCAAGGCUAAGACCGGUAGCCGGCCUGAGAGGGUGUUCGGCCACACUGGGACUGAGACACGGCCCAGACUCCUACGGGAGGCAGCAGUGAGGAAUAUUGCGCAAUGGGGGAAACCCUGACGCAGCGACGCCGCGUGGAGGACGAAGCCCUUCGGGGUGUAAACUCCUUUCGACCCGGAAGAAAACCCGCAAGGGUCUGACGGUACGGGUAGAAGAAGCCCCGGCUAACUACGUGCCAGCAGCCGCGGUAAUACGUAGGGGGCAAGCGUUGCUCGGAAUUACUGGGCGUAAAGGGUCCGUAGGCGGCUGGGUGUGUCCUUCGUGAAAUCUUCGGGCUUAACUCGAAGAGGCCGUGGGAAACUACCUGGCUCGAGGGCCGGAGAGGUGCGUGGAAAUUGCGGGUGUAGCGGUGAAAUGCGUAGAGAUCCGCAGGAACACCGGCGGCGAAGGCGGCGCACUGGACGGCUCCUGACGCUGAGGGACGAAAGCUGGGGGAGCAAACAGGAUUAGAUACCCUGGUAGUCCCAGCCCUAAACGAUGGUCACUGGGUGUGCCCCGCGUAGGUGGGGCGUGCCGACGCUAACGCAUUAAGUGACCCGCCUGGGGAGUACGGCCGCAAGGCUGAAACUCAAAGGAAUUGACGGGGGCCCGCACAAGCGGUGGAGCAUGUGGUUCAAUUCGACGCAACGCGAAGAACCUUACCUGGGCUUGAAGAGCACGGGACCCGCCCGAGAAAUUGGGCCUUCCCGCAAGGGACUCGUGCAGAGGUGCUGCAUGGCUGUCGUCAGCUCGUGUCGUGAGAUGUUGGGUUAAGUCCCGCAACGAGCGCAACCCUUGCUCUUAGUUGCUAACGGUUCGGCCGAGCACUCUAAGAGGACUGCCUCGGACAACGGGGAGGAAGGUGGGGAUGACGUCAAGUCAGCAUGGCCUUUAUGUCCAGGGCUACACACGUGCUACAAUGCGCGCUACAACAGGAUGCCAACCCGCAAGGGGGAGCCAAUCCCGAAAAAGCGCGCUCAGUUCGGAUUGCCGUCUGCAACUCGACGGCAUGAAGCUGGAAUCGCUAGUAAUGGCGCAUCAGCACGGCGCCGUGAAUACGUUCCCGGGCCUUGUACACACCGCC